Harpia harpyja (harpy eagle) is the source of this 83-nucleotide non-coding RNA. Lineage: Eukaryota; Metazoa; Chordata; Aves; Accipitriformes; Accipitridae. The record is from the annotation of a RefSeq genome assembly.
GGUAGCGUGGCCGAGCGGUCUAAGGCGCUGGAUUUAGGCUCCAGUCCCCGCGCGGGACGUGGGUUCGAAUCCCACCGCUGCCA